This 468-nucleotide ribosomal RNA is filed under the name uncultured bacterium. Its description in RNAcentral is "partial 16S ribosomal RNA". It matches the Rfam family "Bacterial small subunit ribosomal RNA", at positions 28 to 507 of the family's 1533-position model. The record is from RNAcentral.
GACGAACGCUGGCGGCGUGCUUAACACAUGCAAGUCGAACGGAAAGGCCCUGCUUUUGUGGGGUGCUCGAGUGGCGAACGGGUGAGUAACACGUGAGUAACCUGCCCUUGACUUUGGGAUAACUUCAGGAAACUGGGGCUAAUACCGGAUAGGAGCUCCUGCUGCAUGGUGGGGGUUGGAAAGUUUCGGCGGUUGGGGAUGGACUCGCGGCUUAUCAGCUUGUUGGUGGGGUAGUGGCUUACCAAGGCUUUGACGGGUAGCCGGCCUGAGAGGGUGACCGGGCACAUUGGGACUGAGGUACGGCCCAGACUCCUACGGGAGGCAGGAGUGGGGAAUAUUGCAACAUGGGCGGAAGCCUGAUGCAGCAACGCCGCGUGCGGGAUGACGGCCUUCGGGUUGUAAACCGCUUUCGCCUGUGACGAAGCGUGAGUGACGGUAAUGGGUAAAGAAGCACCGGCUAACUACGUG